RNAcentral lists this ribosomal RNA (443 nucleotides) under uncultured bacterium. RNAcentral's name for it is "partial 16S ribosomal RNA". It matches the Rfam family "Bacterial small subunit ribosomal RNA", at positions 338 to 795 of the family's 1533-position model. The record is from RNAcentral.
CCUACGGGAGGCAGCAGUGGGGAAUAUUGGGCAAUGGGCGCAAGCCUGACCCAGCAACGCCGCGUGAAGGAAGAAGGCUUUCGGGUUGUAAACUUCUUUUCUGCGGGACGAAGAAAGUGACGGUACCUCAGGAAUAAGCCACGGCUAACUACGUGCCACCAGACGCGGUAAUCCGUGGGUGGCAAGCGUUAUCCGGAUUUAUUGGGUGUAAAGGGCGGGUAGGCGGGAAAGCAAGUCAGAUGUGAAAACUCAGGGCUCAACCCUGGGCCUGCAUUUGAAACUGUGUUUCUUGAGUGCUGGAGAGGCAAUCGGAAUGCGGGGUGUAGCGGUGAAAUGCGUAGAUAUACGGAAGAACACCGGUGGCGAAGGCAGAUUGCUGGACAGUAACUGACGCUGAGGCGCGAAAGCGUGGGGAGCGAACAGGAUUAGAUACCCUAGUAGUC